Molecule: ribosomal RNA, 253 nt
Filed under: uncultured bacterium
Lineage: Bacteria
Description: partial 16S ribosomal RNA
Rfam family: Bacterial small subunit ribosomal RNA
Source: RNAcentral
UACGGGGGGGGUAAGCGUUGUUCGGAAUUACUGGGCGUAAAGGGCUCGUAGGCGGCCAACUAAGUCAUACGUGAAAUCCCUCAGCUUAACUGGGGAACUGCGUGUGAUACUGGAUGGCUUGGAUUUGGGAGAGGGAUGCGGAAUUCCAGGUGUAGCGGUGAAAUGCGCAGAUAUCAGGAGGAACACCGGUGGCGAAGGCGGUUCUCUGGGCAUUACCUGACGCUGAGGAGCGAAAGUGUGGGGAGCGAACAGG